Molecule: ribosomal RNA, 354 nt
Filed under: Suphisellus sp. IR-2002
Lineage: Eukaryota; Metazoa; Arthropoda; Insecta; Coleoptera; Noteridae
Description: partial 12S ribosomal RNA
Source: RNAcentral
AUUAUUAUUAAUGUAAAGUUUAUCAAAUUAGUAUUAGUUAUUUUCUUUAAAAUUAAAAAAUUUGGCGGUAUUUUAGUCUAUUCAGAGGAACCUGUUCUAUAAUUGAUAAUCCACAAUUAGAUUUACUUAAAUUAGAAGUUUGUAUAUCGUCGUUAUAAGAAAAUUUUUUAAGAAUUUUAAAUUUUUAAUUUUUAUUAUAAUUAAAUAUAUCAGAUCAAGGUGCAGUUAAUAUUUAAGAAGAAAUGGGUUACAAUAAAAUUAUUUAUAUGAAUUUAAUAUUUAAAAUAUUUUUGAAGGUGGAUUUGAUAGUAAUAAAUUUUAUCUAUUAUUUAUGAUUAUAGCUCUAAAAUAUGU